This 232-nucleotide ribosomal RNA is filed under the name uncultured bacterium. Its description in RNAcentral is "partial 16S ribosomal RNA". It matches the Rfam family "Bacterial small subunit ribosomal RNA", at positions 57 to 305 of the family's 1533-position model. The record is from RNAcentral.
GCAAGUCGUACGAGAAGUUGGUGCUUGCACCAAUGGACAGUGGCGCACGGGUGAGUAACGCGUGGGAAUUUACCAUGGAGUGGGGGACAACAGUUGGAAACGACUGCUAAUACCGCAUAAUCCCUUAGGGGGAAAGAUUUAUCGCUCUAUGAUGAGCCCGCGUUAGAUUAGGUAGUUGGUGAGGUAACGGCUCACCAAGCCGACGAUCUAUAGCUGGUCUGAGAGGACGACC